AUUGAACGCUGGCGGCAUGCCUAAUACAUGCAAGUUGAACGCAACAAAGACACCAGAGCUUGCUCUACCGUCUUUGUUGAGUAGCGAACGGGUGAGUAACGCGUGGGUAACCUGCCUUAUAGCGGGGGAUAACUAUUGGAAACGAUAGCUAAUACCGCAUAACAAUAGAGAUUGCAUAAUCUUUAUUUGAAAGUACCAACUGGUACACUAUGAGAUGGACCCGCGUUGUAUUAGCUAGUUGGUAGUGUAAUGGACUACCAAGGCGAUGAUACAUAGCCGACCUGGGAGGGUGAUCGGCCACAUUGGGACUGAGACACGGCCCAAACUCCUACGGGAGGCAGCAGUAGGGAAUCUUCGGCAAUGGACGAAAGUCUGACCGAGCAACGCCGCGUGAGUGAAGAAGGUUUUCGGAUCGUAAAACUCUGUUGUUAGAGAAGAAUGUUGAUUAGAGUGGAAAAUUAAUCAAGUGACGGUAUCUAACCAGAAAGGGACGGCUAACUACGUGCCAGCAGCCGCAGUAA
This 521-nucleotide ribosomal RNA is filed under the name uncultured bacterium. RNAcentral describes it as "partial 16S ribosomal RNA". It matches the Rfam family "Bacterial small subunit ribosomal RNA", at positions 30 to 523 of the family's 1533-position model. The record is from RNAcentral.